Molecule: ribosomal RNA, 433 nt
Filed under: uncultured bacterium
Lineage: Bacteria
Description: partial 16S ribosomal RNA
Rfam family: Bacterial small subunit ribosomal RNA
Source: RNAcentral
AACGAACGCUGGCGGCAUGCCUAACACAUGCAAGUCGAACGAGACCUUCGGGUCUAGUGGCGCACGGGUGCGUAACGCGUGGGAACCUGCCCUUAGGUUCGGAAUAACUCCCCGAAAGGGGUGCUAAUACCGGAUAAUGUCUUCGGACCAAAGAUUUAUCGCCUUUGGAUGGGCCCGCGUUGGAUUAGCUAGUUGGUAGGGUAAAAGCCUACCAAGGCGACGAUCCAUAGCUGGUCUGAGAGGAUGAUCAGCCACACUGGGACUGAGACACGGCCCAGACUCCUACGGGAGGCAGCAGUGGGGAAUAGUGGACAAUGGGCGAAAGCCUGAUCCAGCAAUGCCGCGUGAGUGAUGAAGGCCUUAGGGUUGUAAAGCCCUUUUACCCGGGAUGAUAAUGACAGUACCGGGAGAAUAAGCUCCGGCUAACUCCGUG